RNAcentral lists this microRNA precursor (136 nucleotides) under Podarcis lilfordi (Lilford's wall lizard). Lineage: Eukaryota; Metazoa; Chordata; Lepidosauria; Squamata; Lacertidae. The record is from RNAcentral.
GCCAAGAUCAGCUGGCUUUAUUGCUCUCUCUCUCUCUCUCUCUCUCUCUCUCUCUCUCUCUGUGUGUGUGUGUGUGUGUGUGUGUGUGUGUGAGAGAGAGAGAGAGAGAGAGAGAGAGAGAUGCUUGACUGCAGUC